UGGGGAAUAUUGCACAAUGGGCGGAAGCCUGAUGCAGCGACGCCGCGUGGGGGAUGACAGCCUUCGGGUUGUAAACCUCUUUCAGUGCAGAACAAGGCUCUUUGUGGGUUGAGGGUAUGCGCAGAAGAAGCGCCGGCUAACUACGUGCCAGCAGCCGCGGUAAUACGUAGGGCGCGAGCGUUGUCCGGAUUUAUUGGGCGUAAAGAGCUCGUAGGCGGUUUGUCGCGUCUGCUGUGAAAUCCUCUGGCUUAACUGGGGGCGUGCAGUGGGUACGGGCAGACUGGAGUGCGGUAGGGGAGACUGGAAUUCCUGGUGUAGCGGUGGAAUGCGCAGAUAUCCGGAGGAACACCAGUGGCGAAAGCGGCCUCCUGGGCCAUUUCUGACGCUAAGACGCGAAAGCUAGGGUAGCAAACGG
RNAcentral lists this ribosomal RNA (415 nucleotides) under uncultured bacterium. Its description in RNAcentral is "bacterial SSU rRNA". It matches the Rfam family "Bacterial small subunit ribosomal RNA", at positions 355 to 775 of the family's 1533-position model. The record is from RNAcentral.